AGCAGCCGCCGCGGGAAUACGAAGGGUGCAAGCGUUAAUCGGAAUUACUGGGCGUAAAUCGUGCGUAGGCGGUGAGUUAAGUCUGCUGUGAAAGCCCUGGGCUCAACCUGGGAAUUGCAGUGGAUACUGGGUCACUAGAGUGUGGUAGAGGAUAGUGGAAUUUCCGGUGUAGCAGUGAAAUGCGUAGAGAUCGGAAGGAACAUCUGUGGCGAAGGCGACUAUCUGGGCCAACACUGACACUGAGGCACGAAAGCGUGGGGAGCAAACAGGAUUAGAUACCCCCGUAGUCCCUGUCUCUUAUAC
This 303-nucleotide ribosomal RNA is filed under the name uncultured bacterium. RNAcentral's name for it is "partial 16S ribosomal RNA". It matches the Rfam family "Bacterial small subunit ribosomal RNA", at positions 507 to 807 of the family's 1533-position model. The record is from RNAcentral.